Molecule: ribosomal RNA, 20 nt
Filed under: Leccinum populinum
Lineage: Eukaryota; Fungi; Basidiomycota; Agaricomycetes; Boletales; Boletaceae
Description: partial 28S ribosomal RNA
Source: RNAcentral
UUUGACCUCAAAUMAGGUAG